This 254-nucleotide ribosomal RNA is filed under the name uncultured bacterium. RNAcentral's name for it is "partial 16S ribosomal RNA". It matches the Rfam family "Bacterial small subunit ribosomal RNA", at positions 524 to 776 of the family's 1533-position model. The record is from RNAcentral.
UACGGAGGGGGCUAGCGUUGUUCGGAAUUACUGGGCGUAAAGCGUGCGCAGGCGGUUUUGUAAGUCUGUCGUGAAAUCCCCGGGCUCAACCUGGGAAUUGCGAUGGAGACUGCAAGGCUAGAAUCUGGCAGAGGGGGGUAGAAUUCCACGUGUAGCAGUGAAAUGCGUAGAGAUGUGGAGGAACACCGAUGGCGAAGGCAGCCCCCCUGGGAUAACACUGACGCUCAUGCACGAAAGCGUGGGGAGCAAACAGG